UGGGGAAUAUUGCACAAUGGGCGCAAGCCUGAUGCAGCCAUGCCGCGUGUAUGAAGAAGGCCUUCGGGUUGUAAAGUACUUUCAGUCGGGAGGAAGGUGUCAAGGUUAAUAACCUUGGCAAUUGACGUUACCGACAGAAGAAGCACCGGCUAACUCCGUGCCAGCAGCCGCGGUAAUACGGAGGGUGCAAGCGUUAAUCGGAAUUACUGGGCGUAAAGCGCACGCAGGCGGUUGAUUGAGUCAGAUGUGAAAUCCCCGGGCUUAACCCGGGAAUUGCAUCUGAUACUGGUCAGCUAGAGUCUUGUAGAGGGGGGUAGAAUUCCAUGUGUAGCGAUGAAAUGCGUAGAGAUGUGGAGAAAUACCGGUGGCGAAGGCGGCCCCCUGGACGAAGACUGACGCUCAGGUGCGAAAGCGUGGGGAGCAAACAGG
RNAcentral lists this ribosomal RNA (429 nucleotides) under Chloroflexota bacterium. RNAcentral's name for it is "Chloroflexi bacterium partial 16S ribosomal RNA". It matches the Rfam family "Bacterial small subunit ribosomal RNA", at positions 355 to 776 of the family's 1533-position model. The record is from RNAcentral. Lineage: Bacteria; Bacillati; Chloroflexota.